Austrofundulus limnaeus is the source of this 444-nucleotide long non-coding RNA. RefSeq lists it as uncharacterized. The transcript is spliced from 2 exons. Lineage: Eukaryota; Metazoa; Chordata; Actinopteri; Cyprinodontiformes; Rivulidae. The record is from RefSeq and is a predicted model, not a curated record.
GUUCUGGGUCCAGGUUUUUAUCAAACUUUUACCUUUUUAGAAGAUUUGCAGAACUACAUCGUUCUAACGCUGAGUCAGCAUUUUUUUCUGUUCAUUUUCGGCUCAGACUAAUUUCUGAACAGAAUGGAUCUCCUGUGAUCCACAUGAAUAUCAAACAAACACUUUCGGCUCUGUUGGGCUUUCUUCCUCCUCUUCCUCCUCUUCCUCCGGGAGCCGAUUGCUGCAGCAGGAGGUGGACUGAUGCCUCGAUGCUGCAGGAGAGCGUUUACCUUCACUGUGGCCUUGGGUUUGGAGCUUCGGCUGAUUUCAUCUCUUAUCACUGGAGCUGAAGAGUAUCUGUGCUGAACUGACCCGACGUCUCUGAAACACUUUAAACCUGAUUAAAACUUUAAUUUCAUCGUUAAAACGACACAAAUCCUGCAAAAUAAACCUUUUUAACAGUUA